This is a long non-coding RNA of Homo sapiens (human), 2927 nucleotides long. Ensembl annotates it as STXBP5 antisense RNA 1. Its record names the gene STXBP5-AS1. The record is from Ensembl. Lineage: Eukaryota; Metazoa; Chordata; Mammalia; Primates; Hominidae.
GCUGCUGCUGUUGCUGCUGCGACGCCGAGGACGAGCCGGCGGUCAGGCCGUCCAGCACCUUCCUGAUGUUGAAUUUCCUCAUGGUCUCGGAGGGGCUCCCCCGCAGCCCGGGAGGGGAGGCACAGGGGGUCCCCGGGCGGGGGAGACCACCCGGGGCCGAAGGCAGCUUCGACCGCGGAAACGGAGGAGUGGGAGUGUGAGGAGAAAUAUGCAAUGAUGACAUUUCCAAGAAGUGAUGGCAUCUGGCGCUAAGGACAAAGAAUGGGAUUUUGCCACAGGGAUCUUAUUCUCCCACAUGUUCUGUCUGAAGGAGAAAGUUAUCUGAGGCCUUAUAUGAUGCAAAACUUUGGACUCAAAGAAAUUAAAUCACUUGCCCAAGGUUACAUAGCUGCCACCCAGGAGCUUACAAUUUAUGUGAGGAAACAGAUUGUAUACAUAUACAGAUAAUUAAAAAUAUAUAUGCCCCUGGCAAACACCAUUCUACUUUCCGUCUCUAUGAAUUUGACUACUCGAAGUACCUCAUGUGAAAUGUUGGUGCCAAAUGAACUUUUCUGGUUCUUCUGAAUAUGCCACUGUUGCUGGAGAAAUGUCACUGCUAGAGAACAGAAGACUAUUAUUCCAAAGGGUAUUUGAGACUGACUGAAUCAGGUCUGGAACAUUAUUGAAAUGAGACCCACAAAAGAAGAGAUACUGAGGUGGUGACCAGAUGGAUAUAAACGGGCUGUGGAAAAAGAGAAUGCAUGGCCAAAAAUGGUGGUGCUCUCUGUCCAAAAACUGAGGCCCUAUGACCAUGAAUGAAGCCAGAGGGCAGGUAGGAAUAGAUCAUUUGCUCCAGAAGAAGCUGGUUGCCAUGUCUUGAGGACAGUAAACCCUCUGGGGAGGUUCCUGUGGUAAGGAACAAGGGCUCCUGGCAAUAGCCUCUGAGUGAGCCACCUUGAAAAUGGAUUGUCCAGCCCCAGUCAAGCUUUCAGAUGACUGUAGCUCCUGCCAAUGUCUUCACCACAACCUCAUGAGAUCCCAAGCUACAACCACUCAGUUAAGUUAUGCCAAAAUUCCUGAUUCACAGAAAUUGACAUACAGGAGAGGUCACAGUUAAGAUCUUGAUGUUCUAUCUUGACCCAUAAUAUAGGAACUUCAUCUUUUGGGAAGCACCAGGGAGAGCUGCCUGUGCCUGGCAGAAGCUGCCCAUGCCCCACUGAUACCCCACAGUACUUCCUGUUCUGCUUAGUACUCCUGCUUCUUUCUACAAACAACUGUGAUUCUCUACCUGGGAGCUUCCUCUGGCCACAGGAGCCUGCUCACCUGAUUGGGACACCCUAGCAGUACUGGCUCAUAGAUGGAAGGGACUUGCCUUGUCGCUGAUGAGACUUUCGACUUGGACUUUUGAGUCAAUGCUGGAAUGAGUUAAGACUUUGGGGAACUGUUGGAAGGGUGUGAUUGUGUUUUGAAUUGUGAGGACAUGAGAUUUUGAAGAGGCUAAUGGCAGCGUCCCCACCUAAAUCUCUUCUUGAAUUGUAGUUCCCAUAAUCCCCACGUGUCGUGGGGUGGAGCCGGUGGAGAUAAUUGAAUCAUGGGAACACUUUCCCCCAUGCUGUUAUUGUGAUUGUGAAUUCUCACGAGAUCUGAUGGUUGUAUAAACGCCUUCCCUCUUCGCUGGGCACUCAUUUUUCUCCUUCCUGCCACCAUGUGAAGAAGGAUAUGCUUGCUUCUUGUGCCAUGAUUGUAAGUUUCCUGAGGCCUCCCCAGCCAUGCUGAACUGUGAGUCAAUUGAACCUCUUUCCUUUAUAAAUUACCUAGUCUUGGAUAUGUUUUUAUUAGCAGUGUGAGACAGGACUAAUACACAAAGGAUUUGAAAUCACAAAGGAGCUGUUUUCUGCUCCACCAUGGAAGUCUCACAUGCAUCACAUCUAUUCAUAUCCAUUUGCCACAACUAGACAAAAAGUCCUUUUUAAAAUCUGCCUAGAGAUCAGGAAGUAUUAUCUCUGGAUGCCUAGGCAGGAGAGGUGAAUCAGAUAUUGGUGGGCACUAGUGUGUUCUAUGAUACAUAGCUUAAUAAAAAUAAGUUUCAGAUAAAUCUAAAUAUACAUUAGAAUACUGUAACCACAGUAGAAAAAAAUAUUGGCUCCUUUUUGUGAUAAACUAAUGAUGGUAAAUGCACCCUAUUUAAGCAAGAAAAGAAACUGAUCUGCCAUAAAGAAAACAAUGACAUAUUUAACUACAAAAUAUGUUACAAAAUAUUAAUAUCCCUAAUGGACAAAUGAGUUCCAAUAAAUGGAUAACAAAAAACCAAUAAGUCUGUAGAAAAAUGGAGAAAAUAUAUUUGCAGAAUAUUUAUACAGGUGGUAAUGAAAUUGACAAUGAUGUUUAUCAUCAGCAGUAAACAGUAAAAAGUUUCACCCACCAGGACUAUAGAAAUUUUUCAAAUGGAUAAUUUUCAGAAUCAGCAAAGUUAUAGAAAAGUAGGUACCAGUUGCACAUACCAUUGGAGGAAAUGUAAAAUAUAGUUACCUUGUGGAAAGUAAUCUGAUGUAAUAUAUUAAAAUUUUAUCCAUGUAUGUCCUAUAAUUCAGCAAUUCCAUGUUGGGGAAUCCAUACAAAGAAAUACUUAUACACAUGCAGAAGGAGCUAAGUUUAAGAAAGCACACAUUUCAGCGGGUUGUGGUGUCUCACCCCUGUAAUCCCAGCACAUUGGGAGGCCGAGGUUGGUGGAUCACCUGAGGUCAGGAGUUUGAGACCAGCCUGGCCAACAUGGUGAAACCCUGUCUCUACUAAAAAUACAAAAAAUUAGCUGGUGUGGCAGUGGGUGCCUGCAGCUACUCAGGAGGCUGAGGCAGGAGAAUCGCUUGAACCUGGGAGGUGGAGGUUGCAGUGAGCUGAGAUCACACCACUGCACUCCAGCCUGGGUGACAAGAGCGAAAUUCCAUCUC